Molecule: long non-coding RNA, 1111 nt
Filed under: Mus musculus (house mouse)
Lineage: Eukaryota; Metazoa; Chordata; Mammalia; Rodentia; Muridae
Description: long non-coding RNA chr19:24289715-24290826
Source: RNAcentral
ACCUCCUGCCACUGCCAUAGCUACUGCUGCUGCUGGAACCGCCAUAGCCACCUUGGUUUCGUGGUUUAGCAAAGUACUGGCCUCCACCACCAUAAGAGCCAGAGCUCCUGCCUCCAAAGUUUCCUCCCUUCUUCAGUCCAAAAUUUGAAGACUGAUUGUUGUAAUUGCCAAAAUCAUUGUAGCUUCCACCACCUACAAAAUUGCUUCCACCGCCAAAGCUGUCUCUGCCUCCUCCGUUGUUAUAGCUGUCAUAGCUGCCACUCCCACCAUAGCCACUGCCCUGGUUUCCAUAACCCUGUCCACCCCUUCCAUAGCCUCUGCUUCCUCCAGAGUAACCAGGGCCACCUCCUCCAUAACCACCGUCAUUGCCAAAUCCAUUAUAGCCAUCCCCACUGCCACCAUAUCCACCACCACCACGGCUGCCACCAAAGCCACCACGACCACUGAAGUUCCCUCCUCGACCAAAAUUGUCAUUGCCACCAAAACCGCCUCCACGACCACCACCAAAGUUUCCAGAACCACUGCGACCUCUCUGGCUGGAUGAAGCACUAGCCAUCUCUUGCUUCGACAGAGCCUUUCUUACUUCACAGUUGUGGCCAUUCACAGUAUGGUAUUUCUGAAUAACAAUCUUAUCCACAGAGUCAUGGUCAUCAAAGGUAACAAAAGCAAAGCCCCUCUUUUUCCCACUGCCUCUGUCAGUCAUAAUUUCUACCACUUCAAUCUUCCCAUACUGCUCAAAAUAAUCUCGUAGGUGAUGUUCUUCAGUGUCUUCUUUAAUACCACCAACAAAGAUCUUUUUCACAGUUAACUGGGCACCUGGUCACUGAGAAUCUUCUCUUGAGACAGCUCUCUUAGGUUCCACAACUCUUCCAUCCACCUUGUGUGGUCUUGCAUUCAUGGCAGCAUCCACUUCUUCCACAGUGGCGUAUGUGACAAACCCAAAGCCCCUGGAUCUCUUGGUGUUUGGAUCUCUCAUUCCCACACAGUCGGUUAGUGUUCCCCAUUGCUCUAAAUGGCUCCUCAGACUCUUGUCGGUUGUUUCGAAGCUCAGCCCUCCAAUAAAGAGCUUCCACAGCUGUUCUGGCUCCUUGGGAGACUCGGACUUAGACAU